RNAcentral lists this ribosomal RNA (227 nucleotides) under uncultured bacterium. Its description in RNAcentral is "partial 16S ribosomal RNA". It matches the Rfam family "Bacterial small subunit ribosomal RNA", at positions 15 to 235 of the family's 1533-position model. The record is from RNAcentral.
GAUCAUGGCUCAGGAUGAACGCUAGCGGCAGGCUUAACACAUGCAAGUCGAGGUGCAGCAUAAUGGAUAGCAAUAUCUAUGGUGGCGACCGGCGCACGGGUGCGUAACGCGUAUGCAACCUACCUUUAACAGGGGGAUAACACUGAGAAAUUGGUACUAAUACCCCAUAAUAUCAUAGAAGGCAUCUUUUAUGGUUGAAAAUUCCGAUGGUUAGAUAUGGGCAUGCG